AUGAACGCUGACAGAAUGCUUAACACAUGCAAGUCUACUUGAACUUCGGUUUGGGUGGCGGACGGGUGAGUAACGCGUAAAGAACUUGCCUCACAGUUAGGGACAACAUUUGGAAACGAAUGCUAAUACCUGAUAUUAUGAUUUUAGGGCAUCCUAAAAUUAUGAAAGCUAUAUGCGCUGUGAGAGAGCUUUGCGUCCCAUUAGCUAGUUGGAGAGGUAACGGCUCACCAAGGCGAUGAUGGGUAGCCGGCCUGAGAGGGUGAACGGCCACAAGGGGACUGAGACACGGCGCUUACUCCGACGGGAGGCAGCAGUGGGGAAUAUUGGACAAUGGACCAAAAGUCUGAUCCAGCAAUUCUGUGUGCACGAUGACGUUUUUCGGAAUGUAAAGUGCUUUCAGUUGGGAAGAAAAAAAUGACGGUACCAACAGAAGAAGUGACGGCUAAAUACGUG
Molecule: ribosomal RNA, 453 nt
Filed under: uncultured bacterium
Lineage: Bacteria
Description: partial 16S ribosomal RNA
Rfam family: Bacterial small subunit ribosomal RNA
Source: RNAcentral